This 253-nucleotide ribosomal RNA is filed under the name uncultured bacterium. Its description in RNAcentral is "partial 16S ribosomal RNA". It matches the Rfam family "Bacterial small subunit ribosomal RNA", at positions 524 to 776 of the family's 1533-position model. The record is from RNAcentral.
UACGAAGGGGGCAAGCGUUGUUCGGAAUGACUGGGCGUAAAGGGCGCGUAGGCGGUCGCGUGCGUCAGGUGUGAAAGCCCCGGGCUCAACCUGGGAACGGCACUUGAGACGGCGUGGCUGGAGAGCGGGAGAGGAGUGUGGAAUUCCCAGUGUAGAGGUGAAAUUCGUAGAUAUUGGGAAGAACACCAGUGGCGAAGGCGGCACUCUGGCCCGUAUCUGACGCUGAGGCGCGAAAGCGUGGGGAGCAAACAGG